Molecule: ribosomal RNA, 1220 nt
Filed under: Muda kuroiwae
Lineage: Eukaryota; Metazoa; Arthropoda; Insecta; Hemiptera; Cicadidae
Description: 16S ribosomal RNA
Rfam family: Archaeal large subunit ribosomal RNA (bases 994-1154)
Source: RNAcentral
AUAUUUUUUCAAUAUUUAUUUAAUCUAUAUAUUUAAUAAAAAUAAUUAUUUAGUUUAAGUAAUUCUUAUAGAAACAAUUUAAUUUUAAUUACUGAAAAGGAUAAUUAAUUAAAUAUUUUAUAGUAAAAUAAUAUUUUGUACCUUUUGUAUCAGGAUUAAUUAAAAUAUUUUAAAUAUUUAAUCUUCUCGAAAUAUAGUGAUUUAAAAUAGUUUGUUAAUUAUUGUUUUAUAAAUAUUAAAAAAAUAGUUUUGGAAAUGAAAUUUUAUCGAACUAUAUUAUAUCUGGUUUAUUAGGAAAUAAAUUCAAUUUAAUAAAAAUGUUAUAAUUAUUAAUUAAAUGAUAAUUUAUAAAUUUUUUUAGUUAUAUUAAGGAUAAGCUUAAUAUAAUAUCUAUACUUUAAUUUAUAUAAAAUUAAUUAGGCUUAAGAACAGCCACAUUUUAGAUUAAGUUAAAUUACAUUAUUUAUAAAAUAAUUAUUUUUUAUCUAUUAGAUUUAUACUAAUAAAUUAAAAUUAAUUAAUAAUUUGAUUUAUUAUGAUUAAAUAAGUAAAUUAAUUUAAUAUUUAAUAUCAUGAACUAGGCAAAUAUAAUUUUCACCUGUUUAUCAAAAACAUGUCUUUUAGUUUAAAUUAAAAGUUUAAUCUGCCCAAUGAUUAUUGAAUGGCCGCAGUAAAUUAACUGUGCGAAGGUAGCAUAAUAAUUAGUCUUUUAAUUGAAGGCUUGAAUGAAUGAUUGGAUGAAAAAUGAUCUUUAUUAUUAUAAAUUUUUGAAAUUAAUAUUUAAGUUAAAAAGCUUAAAUAUAUAAGUGGGACGAGAAGACCCUAUAGAAUUUAAAAUUUAUUCAAUUUUAAUAUAAAAAGAAUGAAAUAAAUUAAAUUUGGGUAUAUUUUUAAUUGGGGUGAUUUUAAAAUAAUUUUAACUUUUAAUUAAAUUUACAUAGAUAUAUGUUUUGUUGAUCCAUUUUAAUGAUUUAAAGAAUAAAUUACCUUAGGGAUAACAGCGUUAUUAGUUUGAAGAGUUCAUAUUGAUAAAUCUAGUUUGCGACCUCGAUGUUGGAUUAAGAAAAAUAUUUGGAGCAAAAUCUAAUUAAAUUAGGUCUGUUCGACCUUUAAAUUCUUACAUGAUCUGAGUUCAAACCGGUGUAAGCCAGGUUGGUUUCUAUCUGCUAAUAUUUUAUUAAUAUUAGUACGAAAGGACCAUAUUAAUUAAUUAAUAUUAU